RNAcentral lists this ribosomal RNA (802 nucleotides) under uncultured Actinomycetes bacterium. Its description in RNAcentral is "bacterial SSU rRNA". It matches the Rfam family "Bacterial small subunit ribosomal RNA", at positions 74 to 853 of the family's 1533-position model. Lineage: Bacteria; Bacillati; Actinomycetota; Actinomycetes. The record is from RNAcentral.
UUUCCUUCGGGGAGCGAGUAGAGUGGCGCACGGGUGAGUAACACGUAGGUAAUCUACCUUUGGAUGGGGAAUAACAACCGGAAACGGUUGCUAAUACCGCAUAAUGCAGCGGCACCUAAUGGUGACAGUUGUUAAAGCGGGGGAUCGUAAGACCUCGCGUCUGAAGAGGAGCCUGCGGCGGAUUAGCUAGUUGGUAAGGUAAUGGCUUACCAAGGCGAUGAUCCGUAACCGGCCUGAGAGGGCGGUCGGUCACACUGACACUGACAUACGGGUCAGACUCCUACGGGAGGCAGCAGUCGGGAAUUUUGGGCAAUGGGCGAAAGCCUGACCCAGCAACGCCGCGUGAAGGAUGAAAUCCCUCGGGAUGUAAACUUCGCAAGAACAGGAAGAAUAAGUAGGGGACAAUACCCCCUAUGAUGACGGUACUGUUUGUAAGCUCCGGCUAACUCCGUGCCAGCAGCCGCGGUAAUACGGGGGGAGCAAGCGUUGUUCGGAUUUACUGGGCGUAAAGGGCGCGUAGGCGGCCACCGCAAGUCAGUUGUGAAAUCUCUGGGCUUAACCCAGAAAGGUCAACUGAUACUGCGGGGCUAGAGUGCAGAAGGGGCAACUGGAAUUCUCGGUGUAGCGGUGAAAUGCGUAGAUAUCGAGAGGAACACCUGCGGCGAAGGCGGGUUGCUGGGCUGACACUGACGCUGAAGCGCGAAAGCUAGGGGAGCGAACGGGAUUAGAUACCCCGGUAGUCCUAGCCUUAAACGAUGAAUGCUUGGUGUCUGGGGUUUUAUAGUCCCCGGGUGCCGUCGCU